GACGAACGCUGGCGGCGUGCCUAAUACAUGCAAGUAGAACGGUGAAGGAGGAGCUUGCUUGUCUGGAUGAGUGGCGAACGGGUGAGUAACGCGUAGGUAACCUGCCUGGUAGCGGGGGAUAACUAUUGGAAACGAUAGCUAAUACCGCAUAAUAGUAGAUGUCGCAUGACGUGUGCUUAAAAGGUGCAGUUGCAUCACUACGAGAUGGACCUGCGUUGUAUUAGCUAGUUGGAGAGGUAUCGGCUCACCAAGGCAAGGAUCCAUAGCCGAACUGUGAGGGGGGUCAGCCGCACUGAGACGGAGACAGGGCACAGACGCAUACGGGAGGGAGCCAGAGGCAAACGUGGGCAAUGGGCGGAAGUCUGACCGCGAAGGGCCGCGUCAGUGAGGAAGGUUGCCGGGUCCGAGAUCUCUGUUUUAAGGGAAGAACGAGUGUGAGAGUGGAAAGAACACACUGUGACGGUAUCUUACCAGAAAGCGACGGCUAACUACGUG
This 495-nucleotide ribosomal RNA is filed under the name uncultured bacterium. RNAcentral's name for it is "partial 16S ribosomal RNA". It matches the Rfam family "Bacterial small subunit ribosomal RNA", at positions 28 to 507 of the family's 1533-position model. The record is from RNAcentral.